Molecule: ribosomal RNA, 453 nt
Filed under: uncultured bacterium
Lineage: Bacteria
Description: bacterial SSU rRNA
Rfam family: Bacterial small subunit ribosomal RNA
Source: RNAcentral
CAUGCAAGCCGAGCGGUAGAGAUUCUUCGGAAUCUUGAGAGCGGCGUACGGGUGCGGAACACGUGUGCAACCUACCUUUAUCUGGAGGAUAGCCUUUUCGAAAGGAAGAUUAAGUACUCCAUAAUAUAUUGAUUGGCAUCAAUUGAUAUUGAAAGCUCCGGCGGAUAGAGAUGGGCACGCGCAAGAUUAGUUAGUUGGUGAGGUAACGGCUCACCAAGACGAUGAUCUUUAGGGGCCUGAGAGGGUGAUCCCCCACACUGGUACUGAGACACGGACCAGACUCCUACGGGAGGCAGCAGUGAGGAAUAUUGGUCAAUGGGUGCAAGCCUGAACCAGCCAUCCCGCGUGAAGGACGACUGCCCUAUGGGUUGUAAACUUCUUUGUAUAGGGAUAAACCUACCCUCGUGAGGGUAGCUGAAGGUACUAUACGAAUAAGCACCGGCUAACUCCGUG